RNA transcript from Cottoperca gobio, 2490 nucleotides. It is a transcript of the gene named cell wall protein DAN4-like, with no coding region annotated. The record is from RefSeq and is a predicted model, not a curated record. Lineage: Eukaryota; Metazoa; Chordata; Actinopteri; Perciformes; Bovichtidae. The transcript is spliced from 13 exons.
UGGAUUUGUGUCUGUCAAAUGUAACGACUCCACCACCAGUUGGACUUUAAUGGCAGCGGCCACACAACGAGAAGUGUCUUAUUGAACAGGCUUCUGGAGUGAUUUGUAGGAGGUGUCUGAGGUCUGCAGAGUCGUAUGCUGGACAAGAGUGGACCAGAAUGAAUAAAAGCUCCUUCUUCCCUAGUGUGAGUUUGGAUGGUAACGGUGGCAGCAUGACAUCAUGGAUAUACGCGACUCACCUAUUUCUUUUCGUUUUCCUGAGCACGAUCGGCCUAUCAGAGGAGGGCUGUGAUGAAUAUUUUCAAAUGAAGGACUGGGGAGGAAAGCUGAAUGAAACGUUUGGCCUCGUGAGAACUAAGGAUUCCAAGUACACAAUGGAAUGUACUGCGGAGAAUGAGUGCCUGAACAACAGCAACUUAGGAUGUAAUUUGCUACAUCAAUGCUUUUUGCGGAAAGAUGAUUUAAAUAAUACGAAGAGUGAAAAGUGUAAAGGGGAAAUUUCUCACAAUGUCCAUUACUAUCACUUCAUGUGCUUGACGGCCCAAGCUAUCAACCGCACUUACGAAGGCUGCGAAUACGAAAACGAAUGCAAGACCUAUUCAGAAAUAGUAUCCACUGUUGUUGAUCAGACAAAAACAUUGCCCCCACCAACAACAACAACAACAACAACAACAACACUGCCUCCAACAACAACAUCAACAACAUUGCCACCAUCAACAACAUUGCCACCAACAACAACACUGCCUCCAACAACAACAACAAUAACAACAACAGUAUUGUCACCAUCAAUAGCAGCAUCGCCACCAACAGCAACAACAGCAACACUCGCACAGAGCGCAGUUAGCCGAAUAAAUGCCGAGACCUUAACCCUGAAGAUGUUAUUAGUGCUGUCUGUGGUCGUCAAUGUGAUCUCUCUGGCUGUUUACCUGUACAAGCGCCAAACGUGGAGACAGGAGAGGAUACAGUGGGCAGACACACCGCUGCCCUCUACAAAAGGGGAGGUAGAGACCACAUAUUUAAUGAAGCCUUUUGGGUGUAACUCCGUCCUCACAUAUUCAAUUGAUGAUGAUGAUAGGAAAAGUGUUGCUGUUGAAGAGGACAAGCAGCAUUAAAGACCCUACUCACCGUAGAUCUUAAUGAAACACAGCUGUGGGAUGUGACAAAUGCCAGUGAAGGGCAAUAGUUUGCAAAUACCUUGGGCCCCAGACUGAAAGUGAACAAGCUGCAACAUGCCUGCUGCUACAUGCCUGCUGCAACAUGCCUGCUGUCUCAGCCGCGGAAGUUUGAUUGUGAUGAAGAUGAAGCUGAAAUGCUGGUCGUGCGCCAAAGAAAGAACAUUUGAAAUGCAUCUAUAUGUGAGCUGCCCAGAGAUUUAUAUUUAUUAUAAUAAAAUGUUAUAAUAACGCAGUCUGAUCCACAGCAUUUUGACCAAUCUUUCAUAAACUGUAAAAACAACCUGACGUUUAUGUGAAAAGUUAUUUAAAACGUAGUUAUUCUGGAUAGGUUCUCCCUCAGACGAGCUUCACAAAUAGAAGCUCUUUGUGUUUAAUGUCAAAUAAACUGUCCACUUAAACAUAUAUAUUCUUUGGACAUGUUACAAAUGGCUCUCAAACAAAUGCAUAUCUAAUACAAAUGAUUUAUGUCAUUUUCUUUUCUGCCAUCCAGAACAAAUGUCAAUAUCUUAUCAGUUGAUAACAUAGAAAUAUCAUUUCAUAAUCAUAACAUACCACCCAUCUGCCUCUCAUAAAUUUGGCAUUUAGCAAGUGUUGUGCUUUGCUUGUAUAUUUUUUAUUAAGUCAUCCAGUUUAUUUAUGGAGCUUUUAACAGACUGAAGAAGAUUGUCCCAGUGUGUCUGCAUGUGUGUAUGUAGGUGAGGUUUUAAUACACGCAGCCAGGAUGAAAGUACUUGUGCAUACAGCUUAGUGUUUAAUAAUAACAGACUGAAGUAUGAGAAAUGUGAGGAGGCGGAAAGAAUGUCACUGGUUGAGAUAAUUACUAAAUUACUUUUGUUUUUCACUCACUUCAGUUAAAGCUGGCCCGUUAGUUCGCUGAGGUUCAGCUCCUCGCUUGUAGUUGUUCCAUGAGACCAGCAGUAGUUGCAUUACAUUAAAGGUCUACAUUAAAAUAAAAAAUGUUCUACUGAUUAAAAGUUAACUCUCGAAAACAAAAGAUCGUUGAGUAUUCAUCAUUUUGGCAGCAUGUUUCAGAGAUAAAGUGGAGUGUGCUCAAUCCUGUUAUGAAAAGCAAACGAAACAUCUAAGUGAUGCCAGGUCUGUUUGUAUUAUUUAACUCCUUUGGUACUUUUUGCAUUGUAUGUUUGUAUUGUAAAAUGUAUUGUGAAAAUGGGAAGAAAUGUAUUCUUACUGACUGUACAAUGUGUUUUGUGUAUAAUUGUUAUGUGUUUAUAGCUGACCAAAGUUCUACACAUAACAGCUUUAAUAUGUGCAUACAUCAUGACAUACCUUAACAAAUAAAGUCAUAAUAAUCUGA